UCGGAAUUUGGGACAAGGUUUACUAGUUAAUGAUGCCCGUCGGGCAUAGGUGAAAAACCAGAACUCUAGUUCAUCUGACGGACGAGGUUGUUCAACUUAGCCUCUCGGUUGCCAGCGUCACCAUGCUCCACGUAGUGAUUCCUCUUCUUCGUGAGACCACCAAGAGGGGCACUCAACUUAAAAGGCCACAAGAAGUUAUUCGCCUCCUUGAAGUGGGGGCCGACUGUGUAAAUCUCAUGAAUGAGAUCCUCAAUGCAGAUGAUACCGUACUUUCCAAGUGCCUCCUCAAUGAUGCUGUUGUCGGUCAAGGCAGUGCGGCUCUUGUUAAGCUUGCCGUAACCACGCUUGUAGAUCAACUCCCGGACAGUUUUCAAGUUGGGAUACCUGAAUAAAACAAGUGAAGUCCAAUAAGUGUUGCUGCUGUGUACGGCCCAAGUCAAUGUUUAGCAAUGGUUUUCUUAAACCGAUUCCCUAAACGCCGAUUUCAAUCGAAGUAAUGAUGCUACCUUCAAUUCUUACAAAAUCCAUAGAGAUAUCGAACUCACCCAUAAGUGACGUAUGGCUCAACCCUGCGCAACAUGUUCACGGUAGCCUUGUUCACCUUCAUGAAUACGCCAUUGAAGAUCUGCCUCAGCCUCAACAGUUGCAUGAUCUUCCUGACCUUGGGGUGCAUGUCAUUGAUACUAGAUCAACAAGAAAAAAAAGAAGUCAGCACUCCUCUACAACAUUCCACCUCAAAAAAAGGGAACAUAAUUAGAGAGAAAUUUAAACAGGAAAUUGAUCGUGGAAAAAAAGAAAUACUAAUCUGUGCUGAUUGCCUAAGUGCAUUACAACUGCUUCUGGAGGAAUAGAUACAUCGGGCAAAAAUUCAAUUCGGGCUUGAACUUACCCACGGAUACGGACGACGAACAUAAGCUUGGGCUCAGGCUCGACAUAGAAUCCACCCUUGAGCUUAGCCUCCCUCUUCAAGCUUAUCAAUUCCUUCUCCUGUACAACAGAAACGCUUUAGGAGAUCGAACAAAAUAUCCAACUCGCAAGGGCAACAAAACAAACUACCCUGGAGGCACAUGCCAAGAAAUACGUGUGGGUAUCUUGAACUUGCUCUAACCCGCAAAGGUGCUCAACACUAUGUAGACAAGGAAGAAGUUGAAGACAUACUAUUGCCAGGUUCAAUUAACAUUAGGUCAUGCGCAUUCCAAUAAGGCCGGUAAUCUGACACGUGACCUAACCAAAAAACAAUCGAUUAUGCAGCAAACAACAAACACAAUCUGAAAAGACACAAACUUAAGGUUUGUAAUGACCUUAACAUGGCAUUUCCUAUCCACUCGUAAGCCAUAAACUCAGCAUUGUCACUAAACCCUAAAACCCAACCUCGUCUACUGAACAAUGAUCAACAGUCUAAGCUGCCCCCGCAAUCGACUAAGAACCCAAAUCCUUUCGCAACCGCCUCACCUGUCUCUGAUACUCCUCCUGGUACUGCUGAGCACGCUUGAAAAUGAGGGUUCGGUUUUUAGCAUUCCGGGACUUGGCAGCGGCAAGCUGCGAGGACUUGGCAGCAGCCCAUUGCUCGUCCCUCUUGCGCUUCUUGAGGAGCGUCUCGGGCACAACAGCAGGGGCUUGCUCGGCACUCAUGGUGGCUGAGAGGACUGGGAGCCUGACCGCGAGGGGUGAUGCAAGCGAAGGCUGCGAAAAGAGCCCUCGGUUGGACAUUGCUGUGGCUUACCCUGGUUGCACACACGAGCUCCAAACCCUAAUUCCCCAUCCUACGGUCCCAGUUCCAAUGAGAAUUGACGGUCGAAAUGAGCCUUCAUCGGGAACGCGUCAUGGAGCUCUGAACUUUGGGGAACUCAGUUGAACUCUAGAACGUAUCGUUUAUAUCAAUUUAUUGACGAGUUUCUUAUAAAAUCUCCACUGAAAGCAAACUCUCAAUGUUUUUUGAAUUCUUUAUGUAUUGUGUAAAAAUUGGACUACUCUUUACAUGUUAUACUACUAUGUGUGCGUAUACAUAUGUUUAUUAAAUUAUAUUCAAUGCACCAAAAAUAAAUUUACAAUUAAAUAGUCAAUUUUUUGUGUAAUUAUAUGCUUAUAAAAAGAAAGAAAAAUUUUUUUUUAUAUAUAUAUAUAUAUAUAUAUAUAUAUUUAAAAUAUAUUCACACUUUUAUUAAAUUUAUCCAUCCAUCUUAACCAUCAUUUUUCAAAAAACUAUAUAAAAUAAAUAAAUAAAUAAAUAAAUAAAUCUUAAUUCAUUGGAUCCAAAAUCAAUAAAAACCAACCAUAUCCAUCAUGAUUACUAUAUUCUUUAUCAUGAUUAGGUUUAUUUAAUAAAAAAUUAGAUCUAUUUAAUAAUUAUAUAAUUAUAUAUGAGAAAAGAUUAAAUAGAACUAAUCAUUUAUAUUAAUUGAAUCAAUUUAUCCAUCCUAACCAUCAAAAAAAAAUAAUAAAAAAUAAAAAAAUAAUGAAUUCUAGAUUUAUUUAUUUAUUUUUUAAUUCUACAACCAAUAAAAAUCAACUAUAUUCAUUAUUAUUAUCAUAUUCUUUGUCAUAGGUAGAUUCAUUUAGUAAAAUCUCAAAUUUGUUUAACAUUCUCAUAUAUAUAUAUAUAUAUAUAUACAUAUUUAUUUAUUUAAUUGAUUCUUGUAGCCUUAUACGUGUAUAAAGGACAUAAAUCUCAAAUAACUAAAAGAUCAAUAUAUUCUUGUAUCACAUAAAAGAAAAUUGAUAAUCAUUAAAAGAUGAUAUAAUGUUAAACUAGAAUGGCUAUUGUUAAAGAUAAGAAAAUUAUAAAGGCUUAAAAUAAGACUAAAGACUAGAAAAGCAUUGAUAAGAAUGAAGAAAGUUUUACUCUUGCCUCCAUAUAUAUUAUUUAACUAAAAGCUACAUAGCAACAUCCUGUAAGACCUUUAAUAUGUGUCUAAUUUAUAAAAUACGUGUUUUAACUUUUAAUGCAAAUUUUCUAUAUGUAAACUACAUAGUUAACUUGUAUCGCAAGUUAUUAACAUUUGCAACACAUAGUUAAAUUUGUUGAAUAAGUUUCUAACCUAUCAAACAAUAGCAAGCAUGUUUAAAGUCAAAGUUGCAACUAUGAAACUUUUAAGAAGCUUAUCUAAAAAAUAUUAUCAAAUUUAUCUAAUUUAAUUUAUUUUUAUUUAUUCAUAUUAUUUGAGUAACUAUUGGAGUAAAUAUAUAUAUAUAUAUAUAUAUAUAUAUAUAUCUGCAAUAUUAUUUCCUCUUCUAACAACAAGUUCCAAGAAGAAUUAGGAUUAUAUGUUGAUAAAGUCCAAGAUGCAAAAAAUUAUAUUUGCAACACAUUUUAAUCUUUGUUUUUUUUAAAGAUAAUUGAUAGGUUUUCUUAACUACCAAUAAUAUUCUAUUCUAUGUCAAGAAGACCACCUUGUUAUUUAAUUGUUGUUUAGGCCUUCAUAACUUCUUUCAAACAAAACAUUUGUAACUCUAUCAAGAGCCAUUCUUACUUCUAAUAAAAUCAUUAAACAUUGGGAAUUUCUUCCAAGGUUGUGAUAUCAAAUGCAUUAUAUCUUGCCAUCUAUUUGAAGAAAAAUAUAUCAUUCUUGAGGAUCUUUAUCUCUAUUAUAUUAUCUUAAAGGUUGAAAUAAUCGCAAUAUCUCAUUAAAUAAGUUGAAAAAUGAUAAUUCUUAAGUUGAAUAUGUUGGUUAUUAAUUUUCCAUCUCUUCAAUAUCAUAAAUAUAGAAAAAUAACGAAUAAAAAAAAAUAGAAUGUAAUGCUCUAUAGAUCUUAUUUCUUUUAUGGCAAAUAUUUUUUAUUUUUUAUUUUGAUUUUGAUGGACAUCAUUAAUGAAAAGCAUUGACAUUUUUUUUUUGCAUUUAUAAGAUGCUUGACUAGCUUCUAUAUACAUUCACUAAUAUCAUAUCCUUACUAAUAAAUAGGAUAUUUCAGUUUAUUUUAAUGCUCUUUAGAAUCUAAAACUUCUUCUAUUAUAAAUUUUUGAUUAUUAUCUAUUUUUAUAAAAAGAAGUAGUAUUUAUCUUCUUCCUAAAAUAUUCACUAUCUUAUAUGGUUCAAGAAGAGACAUGUGGAAUAUAAAAUGGAUCUUUGUAGACUUUGAUAGAGUAAUCAAUAAAGAAAUAGAUUGAUUUAUUUACAAAUAAGAUAUAAUCUAAGCCUUUGCUAAUCUAACCUGUCACAAAAGCAACGAGUUUUGAUAUUGCAAUAAAAUAAUCAUAUCUUGUUACCAAUAUAAAAUUGAUGUUAUUCCUUGUGAUAGGCAUCCACAUUGAUAUUUUGUUGUUCUUGAGUUUUUUUUAAUUAUGCCUUCAUUGUUGUAUAUAGCUCAAAUAAACAAUUUGCUAAUUUUUUUGUCAUAGGAUUAUCAAUUUUAAAAAAUUCAAAAGCAUCAAAUUAUAGAUGAUAAUUAUAAUUAAUAAAAAAAAUAUUUAUAAUCUAGAAGAAUGUAUCAUAAUAUUAUAAAAAAAAUACAAAAGAAUUUUUCAAUGAUCUUAUUGACAAUUGAUGAUACAUCUCAAAUACUGCUUUAAAACUUGAUUUAUGCACUUUAUUUAUCCAUUGAUUUAAAGAAAAAAAGCCAAAAAUAAUUUAAUAUCUAUCUAUUAAAUCUUAAAGCGAAUUUUUAAAAAUUCUUAUAAAAAUUGUUCCAUUAUUUAAUAAAAUAUUCUGAGAAAAUCCAUAAUAUUAAUAGAUGUUAUCAAAAAAAGCUCAAUUAUUUUUUUACAUGUAAUAAAUUUAGUAUAUGAUAUAAAAUAUUCCAUCUUGAUAAAAAAAUCUACUACUGCAAAUAUAGAAUCAUAAAAAUUAAAAAUUAAAAGAUCUACAAUAAAGUCCAUAAAAACAAAAGACCAUGAUUAUUUUAGGAUAAGUAAUAGCUGAAGAAGUUGAUAAGUUUGAUAACAAGGAAUUUUUUAUUUUAAACAAAUAUCAUAUGAUUUUACAAAGUCUUUAAUUGCCCUCCACAUUUGAGGCUACCAAAAAUCUUUAGAUAUUAAUUUUAAAGUCUUAUUGUAUUCAAAAAGUUCAAUUAUUGAAAAGUUAUAACAAACUUGAAGAAUAUAUAAUCAUACUUUGUCUUUUAGAGUAUAUAAUUAUUUUUUAAAAUAUAAUAGAUUAUUCUUGAAUUUAAACUUGGAAGUAUCAUAAGACUUGAAAGAAUUAUUUUUAUUAUUAUAAAUAAGAGAAUUAAAUGAUAUAUUUGAUAGAACUCGCUUGAAUAAUGUUAAAUCAAUAGUCAACAUUGAUAUUUUUGGUCAAAGAUAAAAAUUCUUGAGGUUCAAAAGAAUAUUUUUUUGUUGAUAAAAAAUUAUACUUUUUACUUUUGAUUUUUUAAGAUAAGAACAUCUAAAAAUAGAAUUUAACAAAUCUUAUUGUUUUUUAAGUUGAUAAAUAAUCUUGAAAUCAAAUCAAGAUAAAGACAUACUCCCACAAGCUCGGUAACAAUUAAAAAUAUAUAUUACUAUAAAAUAUUGAUGUUCUUAUGAUUUGCAUAUACAAUGGCUAAAUUAGAAGUACCUUUUAGGUAAUGAUGUCAUUCUUAAAAUGAAUCUCUAAUUGCAAAAAACUCUUAGACAUGGACCUUAUAGCUAUUUUUUGUUAAAAAUUUCUUGAAAUGAAAAGCUAUUGGUUAAAGUUUGUGAUCUGCUCCUAUUUGUGACAACAUUGUAUCCAUAGCAAAGUCCAAUAUAUUUUUUUCUAUAAAUAAUGACUUAAAAAAUCAAUAUAAAAUAAAAUUGGUGUAUAAAUAAAUAUUAUCUUUAAAGCUUCAAAAUAUACUUUAGCUUCUUUGCUCUACAUAAAUUUGUCUUUACAUGUUAGACAAGUAAGAAGAAUCACAACUUGAAAAAAAAUCUUGAUAAAGAUCCAAUAGUAAUUAAUAAAUCUCAAAAAAUACCACAUAUUUUUUAUUAUAUUUGAAACCUUUCAAUCCAUUAUAGUAUGAAUCUUCUUAAAAUCCAUCAUAAUUUGAAAUGAUGUAUCCAAGAAAGUCAACUUGAAUAGUAUGAAAUAUAUAUAUUUCUAGUUUGGCAUAAAAUCCUACAUCUUUUAGUUUUUCUAAUAUAUGAUAAACAUAAACUUCAUUCUUUUUUAUAUUCUUAGAAUAGAUUAAUAUAUUGUCUAAAUAACAAACAAUAAAAUCAUCAAAAAACUUAUAAAAGAUAUCAUUCAUGAGAUGCUAAAAAGUAAUUGGUGUAUUUGUAAAUCCAAAAGGCAUGACUUAAUAUUUAAGACUUUUUGAUCAAUUCAAUCAAGUAAAGAUCCAUAAAUAUUAAGUCAUGCCUUUUGGAUUUAUUUUUAAAUCCUAAUAAAGGAUAUAUAUUACUGAUGGUGAUUUUGUUGAGCCCUCAAUAGUCCAUACAUAUUUGUAAUGAUCUAUCUUUCCUCUUUAUAAAUAAAUUAAGAACUAUUAUUAGAAAUUUUGAAUGACAUAUGUUAUUCUCGUUGCAUUCAAGCUUCAAUAGACCAAAGCAAUUGAACUAAUAGAGGUGGAUUCGAACACGGGAAAAGACUGAUUAUAUGAAUUGGAUUUGUUAGUGUCACAAUUGAUUGUAUUUUAGCUAUCUGAAAUCAAGUAUCAAACUAUAAAACAUCGAGGCUUACUACUUCCAUCUUAAUUCAAUCCAUAAUCUAUUCUACGAUUAUUAAUUCAACAAUACUUCUCUCAAUUAUAAUUCUUCAUAAGCAAAUAAUAAAGAAAACAAAGAAGUAGCACCAAGCUUAUUCCGGCUUAUGACUCUCAGUCUGGCUCUCGGCUUACGACUCUCACAGUCUGGUUCUUGGCUUACAACUUUUACAGUCUGGCUCUUGGCUUAAGACUCUUACAAUCUGGCUCUUGGCUUACGACUCUCACAGUUUGACUCUCGACUUAUGACUCUCACAGUCUGGCUCUCAGCUUACUUUCUUCAACCUAUUUAUCCUACCAAAAAGAUGAUUCGUCGGCUAGCGGAUUCCAAAGGUUAUGACCUUUUGAAUUCUUAACCAUAUAUUCUACUAACAACCUACUGUUAUCAACUAAACUGCCUAACUAUCAGUCUAAUUUUUAAGGUUGUCAAUAAUCAAUCAGUAACUUACAACAAAGUUUAUUUAUCUAUUCUACAUAGUCCCACUCCUAAUUGUGCAGCGUCCUCACAAACAUUAUUUAGCCUCAACUUAUAAAAGACGUAGCAGCGUUGGCUUCUUCAAUCAAUAGCCUUGACUUACCACCCUUUGAAUUAGUGACCUUCUCCUCUGCUACAUCUUCAUCGCCUGCCUCGAUAUUUGAGGGUUCUCUAUCCAAAUGCACCAUCAAAUCUUCAUUCAACAAACCCAAUUCCCGUACCUGAGACUCACGUCGGGCAAUUUGGUUGUCACGCUCCUCCAACAUCUUCUGCCAUUCUUUUGUCGGUUUCAAAGGUAUCUCCAAAGGCGUUAUCGCCAAAACUGACGUAUUGGUCUAUAUUAAAUUAUUGGCCUUCUUUGCUAAUGCGGCUAGUUUAGUUUGUAACAUCGCAACUUCUACUUGCAACCGUUCUUGCCGUUCCUUCCAAUCGGUCUCCAUCCUUACUAUUGCAGAUACCAUGUUUGCCAUCUUCUCCUUAACCACAAAAGAAAACACAAUGCUUGUCAAGAGUCCCCCUCCUACUUCUUACUAUGGUCCAAUCAAUUGGGUCGACUCCCCCUUUUAUAAGAGAAAACCCGUCUCGAGUUUAUGUAUAGUAAAGUUUAAGUCGAUUACUAUUGAUUCGUGUCGUAAAUUUAGUAUCCAUAAAAUCUUCCAAUUAUACUGAACUAUUUGGAAAUCCUUCAAUAACUCGAUAUGGCCCAUGCUAUUGAACUUGAAAUUUUUCUGGAAAUUUUUUAAAUCGACUAUCAUAAAGAAGUACCAAAUCAUUUGGCAUCAAAGCCUUUGAUCUAAGCUUACUAUCAUAAUAAGUCUUUCUUCAUUUUUAGGUAAGAAAGACAUUGAAUUAUUUCACUAUACUCCGGAGUAAUUACAUCUACUGCAAACAGUUCCGCAUCGGGUAGUACAUCGUUAAUGGAUUCAUUAUCCAAUAUAUUGGAUAACCGAGAUAAAUGGUCCACAUUGGAAUGUGAUUUCCCUGGUCUUACCUGAAUAAUAAAGUCAAAUUCUUGCAAGAGUAGAAUCCAUCAUGCAAUACGACCACUCAAUUGAGGCUUAUUAAUCAUAUAUUUUAAAGCAUCAUGGUCGACAUAGAAAACAAAUUUAUAACUAAGAAGAUAAUGUCAAAACUUUUGUACGGAAUAAAUCAUCCCCAAUGCUUUUCUUUCAGUUGUUGUAUAAUUUCUUUCAACUACUACCAAUUGACGACUUACAUAAUAAAUAGGGUGAUCAAAACCCCGAUCAUCUUUUUGGCUUAGCACAGAACCAAUCGCGACAUUAGAUGCAUCCACAUAAACUUGGAAUGGUUUUGUCCAACAAGGUGCCACCAAUAUUGGUGCUGAAACCAAUCUCUCUUUCAAUGUUUCGAAUGCAAUUGUAUAUUCCUUUGACCAAAAUGUACUGGUCCCAUCAGUUGGUGGUUUCUUCAAGAGAUUUGUCAAGAGAAGGCAUAUAACUGUGAAUAAAUAGAUAAAUUGCCAAUAAUAACUGACAUAGUCGACAAAUGCUUGAAUACCCGUAACAGUGUCUGGUUGCUUUAAUUCUACUAUAAUCUUUACUUUAUUUGGAUUUGUAGCAAUGCCUGCUAUCAAAACUAUAUGACCCAAUAGUUUAUCAAAAACUAUACCAAAUUGGUACUUUUUUGAAUUUAAAGAAAUUUCAUAUUUCGUACAUUGAUUCAAAUAUUCAUCAAGACAUUCUAAUUGCCUCGCUCUCGUACUAAAUGUACAAAAAUCAUCUAGAAAUAUUUCCAUUGAAAUUUAUAAAUAAUCCUCGAAUGCUUGCAUCAUUAUCCUUUGAAAUGUAGCUGGUGCAUUAUAAAACCCAAAUGGCAUAACCUUAUAAGCAAAGGUCCUCCAAUCUGUAGUAAAAGUAGUUUUUAACUAGUCUUCUUUUGUAAUCUUAACUUGAUUAUAACCAGAGAAUCCAUCAAGUAAUGAAUAACAUUCAUGUCCAGUGACAACAUCCAAUAUACUAUUUGUGAAUGGUAAAGAAAAAUAAUCCUUCUUGAUAGCUAUAUUUAAUUUUUGAAAAUCUUGAUAGAUGCAAACUUUUCCAUUCUUUUUCGAUACCAUAACAAUCGGUGAAAUCCAUUCAUUGAAAGAAACUGGAUAGAUAAAUCCAACCUCCAAGAGUUUAUCUACUUCUUCUUUUACCAUAAGUAAGUAUUUUAGAUUAAGUCGAUGUUGUCUUUGGCGUACUGGUAUAGUGUUCUUUUCCAAUAUAAUUCAAUGUUCACAAACUUUAUUUGGAAUUCCUUUCAAAUCCGCAUACGACCAUGUAAAAGUAAUUUUAUGGCAUAAAAAGUAAUCCAUCCAAAUUUCUUUCUCCUUGCCUUUUAUAUUUUCAUAAAUCUAAAUGAUUUGGGAAGCCUCUCCUGUACCUAAAUUAAUUGGUUGACAUCAUGGAAUUUCAGGUGUCUUUAGACUGAUGUUCUGCUCAAUUCUAGAAUCUUUCAUAAAAUUCGAUACAUUAGAACUUUCCAACUCCAGUUCAAUAGUACUAACGUGAUUAACAUCCUGUCUAUUCAUCCAAUAUGCAAUCAUAUGAUCAGAAUCGUCAAUAACAGCUGGAGGAACUAAGUACUCUCUCGGUCCCCUGCAUUGGUAGUUCAUUCUAGUGUGCUUGACAACUUGCCUUGUAUCACCAUAAAUUGGGUCAAGUGUACCAAUUUCUUCUUUUGUAGAUUCAUCUUCAUAAUCCGACAUGAAUUUUGAAUUGGCAAAUUGAGUUUCUCCAUAAUAUUGGACAGGGUAUAUUUGAAGCACAAUUUUAUCAUUACCUUUUCCAAUUGUCAAUGUAUCAUGGCCUUAGUCAUUUUGAGCUUUAGCUUGAUACAACCAUGGUCGCCCCAAUAAAAUUAGGUAUGACAAUAUAGAGCUUUGCAAUCGAAAAAUAAUAUAAUCAAUUUUGUAGGUAAUCCCCACAAUCAAUGUAUCAAUAUUUUAUAAAAUAUCCAUAGGUUUGACUCAAUUAGAGUCAGCCAUUCUCAAAACCAAUGUAGUAGGCAAUAAGUGAUUCAAACCCAACUCCUCCAUUGUAGCGGCAUUCAUAAGAUUUAUACUAGAUCCUCCAUCUACUCCCACUCCCGAUAAUAACACUCCAUCAAUUGUGACAUCAAUUGUAGGUGCAUCCGGAUCGAGAUUCAAACUUACUUCUCAAAUUUCUUUAUUUUGAGAUCUACGACAAAUUAAUGAGGAAUUCAAGAUAGUUUGGCACUCAUGUGAUACCACCAAUAGUUACUUCAUAGAGAUCGUGGGCUGUAUGGCACUCAAAUCUUUUAGAAUAUCAUGUGGUUCUAUAUUAGUGGUAAUUCCUAAUGUCCAUUUCUUCUUCCCAGUCUUAAACAUCGACGCAGGUAAAUUGGUUUUCUCUAUAUUAGAAAUUGAUAAAGCUAUUUGAACUGAAUUUGACAGAGCCUGUAAAAUUGGUUCUUUCAACAGGUAAGAUUUUUCUCCCAAUUGUGCUGAUAUUGAUUCUUUGGAAUUCACGCCUCUUAGAAGAUCUUUCAACGGAAAGGACAUUUCUUGAAAUUGUGUAGAGAAUGGAACAGCUUGAUACGGUGUCGUAUUACAUGCUUUCUUGCUCGAGAAUGCAACAGGCGUCUGGCUGUAGAAGGUAGUAUGGAGAUUCGCUAAUAUUCAAGCAGUCUAUCCGUUUUGGCUGUUGGAAUAUAAAUAAUUGUAAGAAUAUACCAUAAAUCUAUACGGAUGUCCUUCGAUUGUUUGCCGAAAUCCUUUUUGCCCCAGUCGGUAGGUCUCUAGACGUUACAGAAAACCCCAAAUAAUCCAAUCUGCUAAUCUCCGAUACCGCUUUAUACUCACGACUUUGUAUCCACUGACGGUCUUGUUAGAUUAACCCAAAAAUUUUCAUCCACUUUGCAUACUCAAUCCUAUAGACACCCUUUUAAUUCUUCAAUCAUAGACGUAACUUCGAUUUCACAAAACAGUCAAGAGUAAUCACACCCACUUCAUUAAAACCUUGAUUCACUAGUACAACACUGACUUCAGUAACGAUUGCUUCAGUCUUUCCAAAAUCCUAUGAAGAAAAAAAAUCCAAUUCUCUAUUUUUUUCCUCCCCCCCUUCCCCCGAAGCAUAAAGCUAGCUCUCCGAUCCUUUUAAAAAUCCUGAUUCUUUCCCCUUCAUUUCUUAACCUAUCCUCUCUUUUAAUCCUAAUUCUCCCCCCUUUCAAACCCUACUCUCUGAAUUUCUUCAAUCUUCCAUCUUGGAUCCGGAAUUCGCUCUGUCGUCAGAGCUUUCUCCUCCAUUUUUUGCCUUUUAAAAGAUUCUUUUUCCAGAAACAACAUUCCCUGAAAUGGCACAAAGAACAGGACAGCCUGAAACGGAAUCAAAACCUCCGUAAUCGGGACCACAUUGAGUCGCCCGACCAAUUCAGGUCUCAUAUUAGCUAAGAGGCCCAUAGUAAGACGUAGAUGUUCCCGUAAUUGGGUCAAAUUGGUCCUUCGCAUCAGAUUGGCUAAGAGGCCCAUAGUAAGACCUGGAUGUUCCCGUAAUUGGGUGAAAUUGGUCCUUUGCAUCAGAUUGGCUAUGUCAUCGAUUUAGUCCUUUCAAUUCUGUUGACUCCUACUAUUGGACUCGAAUGGAGCAUUUUGUUACUGGUAAGUAUGCCCUGACUGACUAUGAUGGGGUGUCUGAACUGGCCACUGAAUAUUGGCACUGGAAUCGGUCAUUGCUCCCAAUAUUCGAGGUAAUUGAACAUUAAUAAAAGUCCCCUUUCUUUAUAUUUUCACGGUAUACUCGUAUUACAACACGACAACAGAAUCAAAGCCUCCAUAAUUGUCACCUCAUUGGGGUGCACAAUCGAUUUAGGUCUUAUACUGAGUAAAGGGUCCAUGUCAGAACUUGGAUUGGAUGUUCCCGUAAUUGAGUCUAAUUGGUCCUUCAUUUCAAGAUCACCCAAAAGAAUUGGUCUUUUCUCCUUUUGCUGACUUCUUGUAAGAACGGCUUGGACACAUUCCACCCAAUUUACUAAAGAAUCUUGGGGUCUUUGAUUUAUCUCCUCCAUUUUUCCUUGGUUUUGGAUUUGCUGAUCUCGAUUAUUGAAAUUGAACGGAGCAUUACAUUGCUGAUAAGUAUGUCUUGACUACUUACAAUUCGCACAUAUUGGAGCAUAAUCGUCACUGGCUUUGGGAUUGGGACAUUUAUUGGCAUAAUGACUAAUCUUUUUAUAAAAAAAACAACAAAGUCGUCUUCUUGCACUCCAAUCUGGCAUAUUGGGUAUCUCCACCAGUAUAUAUCUACUAAGCUUAUUCCAUAAAGGAUUAGAAAAUGAUCUUGGUUGUCCCAUUUGUAUGGAGGGUACUUGGUUUGAUGAUGCAAGUGGAGCAUAUUGCUGAUACCUGUGUUGCUCUUUCUCGUAGUUCUGGGGAUUUGAUGUAGACCCAUAAUUAAAAUUGAAACUUUGAAAGUUAUUGAAUGUUUGAUUUUGUCGAUUAGAUCAAUUUCUAUUCUAUCCAUAUGUAUUUUCCGUUUGAACUUGAUUGACUUCCUAUUGAGUCGAUGGGAUCAUGGUUUGAUUACUGAAUUGUUGUUGCCUUUGUAAAUGCCAACAGUUUUGGAUAGGGUGCUUUCCUCCUCAAAAUGUACAUUGAACACCCGUUUGUCUAGGUGAUGGACAUUCCGUAUCAAAAUGAUCUUGUCCCUUACAAUUAUUACACCAUACAUUAGGUCUCGUAUUAGAAGGCUUAUGUCAUUUCUCCUUAUCUUUAGCCAAAUUCAUGGCCAAUUCUCCCAUUUUCUUUGUUAGAUUUAAUAACAAGGCUUCAUUUGGAUCUUUAACAGUCGCAUUUGUGAACAACUCCGAUUAUUGAUAGGUUGGCAAUGUAAAAUAAGGUGUCAUCAUUAUUGACACUAUUGCUUGGAGUGGUGUAGCAUUAAUUGGUUGUUGCAACAUAACGUUCUUUACAUUGGAUGCUGCUAUUUGUGGAUAAUUAUCCAUCGAUACAUUUUUUGGUUAUAUUUGUUGGCUUCCUAAACUUAGAAUCAACGUAGCCUCCACUGUUAAUCAUUGGUCAUAAUGACAUUCUUCCCACACCUUUGCUCAUACCAACGAUGCCUCUACUGUAGCUGGUCAAGCCUCUUUUACAAACAUUUUCAAUUCUGGUGGAUGCAAAUUGUUAAUUAAUAUUGAUAAUAUAAACGCAUUUGGCAUUUGAUUAUUUGACCAUUUACAAAGUAUAUCCACAAUCCGGCCAUAAUAGGACUCUACGGAUUCUUCCGCAAACAUCUUGCUAUUCAUAAAACUUUCUCGAAGCCGAUCUUCAAAUCCAGUUGGUCUAAAAUGGGUUAGGAAGGCAUUCCUCAAGGCCUUCCAAUUGAGAAAUCUAUUCAUUGGUUGCCGAUUAUAUCAUUCAAAAGCUGUAUCUUUUAAAGUUGCUAGCAACUAUCUCAACCAAAUGUCUUCAGUUCUACCAUUAUUAGCUAUGCAGGCUGUUAAGAAUUGAAAUAUAUGGUGAUCGGAAUUAGAGCCAAGCCAACCACUAAAAAUAGGUAAUGGUACCACACUUGUAGUUCGGUCUCAUAUUGCUCCCAUUUGUACUGUAAUUGGUACUUUUGGCACUUCCGCGGCCAUUGGUGUUAUCAUUGGUCUCCUUACCAUUUGAAUAUGAAUUUUUCUUCUUUUGGUUUUACUUGGACUUGCAAUUCCUUUUUGUCGUUUCCGUAGGAUAUUUCUUAUGUAUAAUCACUCCUGUCUUUCUUUUGUUUGUCGAUUAAUUCUUUGAUAAUCCUCCCUCCAUGAUUAUCACUCAUAAUCUUUCAUUCUUUCUGGUAAAAUCAAUAUUGCCUUGAAUUAUAACUCACAUAUUUGUAAACCUAAAACUGGUUCUUCUCACGUUCUCAUUCAACAUAUAAUUCCAUCUCCCAUACAAUCAGUUUCUAAUAUUUCAUAUUGUUAUCAUUUCCCUAGCAACGGUGCUAAAAUGUUAUUCUCGUUGCGUUCAAGCUUCAAUAGACCAAAGCAAUUGAACUAAUAGAGGUGGGUUCGAACACGGGGAAAGAUUGAUUAUAUGAAUUGGAUUUGUUAGUGUCUCAAUUGACUAUAUUCUAGCUAUCUGAAAUCAAGUAUCAAACUACAAAACAUCGAGGCUUACUACUUCCAUCUUAAUUCAACCCAUAAUCCAUUCUACGAUUAUCAAUUCAAUAAUACUUCUCUCAAUUAUAGUUCUUCAUAAGCAAAUAAUAAAGAAAAGAAAGAGAUAGCACCAAGCUUACUCCGGCUUAUGACUCUCAAUUUGGCUCUCGGCUUAUGACUCUCACAGUCUGGCUCUCGGCUUACAACUUUUACAGUUUGGCUCUUAGCUUAAGAUUCUCACAAUUUGCCUCUCGACUUACAACUCUCACAAUUUGGCUCUCGGCUUACAACUCUCACAGUCUGGCUCUCGGCUUACUUUCUUCAACCUAUUUAUCCUACUAAAAAGAUGAUCUGUCAACCAGCGAAUUCCAAAGGUUAUGACCCUUUGAUUCUUAACCAUAUAUUCCACUAACAACCUAUUGUUAUCAACUAAACUGCCUAACCAUCAAUCUAAUUCUCAAGGUUGUCAAUCACCAACCAAUAACUUACCACAAAAUUUAUUUACCUAUUCUACAACAUAUAAAAUUCUUAACCAAGUUCUUCUUAAUGUACUCCUUUGGUGUAGCCAAUUUGUUCUUCAAUAAGUUAUAGAUUGAUACAAAUGGAAAUUGAGCUCAUUCUUAAAGAUCAAUUGAACAAUCAUAAGUAUAAUAUUUUAAAAGAAUGUCUUUAUUUUUUUAUUCAAAAAUAUCUUGAUAAACUUGAUACUAACUUAGAAUAUUAUUUGUAAUCUUUCUAUCAUCAAAAAUAGAUGUGGCAUAUAUAGCAAAAGAAGACAUUUUUAAAAAAAUUAUUAUAAAUAUCUAAUAAGAUUUUAGAAAUAAUCUUAUAAUAUUUCAGUAAAAAGUUUUAGAAGAAUUUUAAAUUAUUCUAAUAAAAUAUUUUUAAAAUAUUUUAGUAUAUUUUAGAAAGUUCUAGGAAGAUUAAAGAAGUUAUUUAAAAAGGUUCUUAAGAUUGAUUUCUUUCUAAGCAAUAUGGAAAUUUUACAAAAAGCUUCUUAACAUCUAAUAUAUAUUGGAGUCAAGGCUAAAGAGAUCUUCAAACUUAACAAUAUAUUUUUUGGAGUUCUAGUUCACCUUUCUUAGUAUUGAACUUGUAUUCAUCUAAUUUAAUCAAAUUCAUGCUAGUUUUUUUAUUAAAACUCUUUUGUUCAACUUCUUAUUCAAUCUUUUAUAUAAUGUACUGAUAACAGUUUGUCGAGACUAUCCUCUUAUCAAUACUAGACCUUGUUCCCUCUUGAUAGAAAGUAGAUUAUUUUUCUUUUUGAAGGAAUCUAAGUGUUUAGAGGUUGUAGAUCAUCCUUUUUUAAACACAUAUUAUUUAAAAACUCUUUUUUUUCUUUCAAGAUGGUUCAAAGUAAAAAUUUUAAUAUGAUUGAGUUUAUUGAGUCUAAAUUAGAUAAUAUUAUAAACAUGUUGAAUACUUUAUUUUAUCAAAUUCUUGAAAUUGAGAAUUUUUUUUACAAGAUUUUAUGGUGCUAUAAGACUUGAAGCAGUUCAGCUUGUAAUGCAAAUACUUUCUCAAACUUCUAUAUUAAAAGAGGUGGUAGUACUUAUACUUCAACAAGAAAAUUCACCUAUUCAAUAAUAUAAGGAGCCUCAGAUUAGCCUUUCAAAAUUUUUUGAUGGUACAUGCUUUAAGUUUUGAGGAUUUUAUUAAAGUAAGUAGGUAACAAUGGAAGUAGAAUAAGUUAUCUUAUAAAAAAUAUUAUCUUAGAUAUGUUACUAAUGAUUGAAGAUUUGGCUUUUAGUAUAAAGAAAAGACAUCUUAUAGAUGUAGAACGAGGUCAAAGGCCAAGAAUUAAAAUCAAGAGAAUAAAAUAUUAUCUAAAAAAUAUUCAAAUAUUAAGUAAGAGUAAUUAAUGUUUGAAAUAAGAUACCUUCUUUAUCAAUGAAAUGCUAAAGAAUUUAAAGACCAUAGGAUAUCCUUGUGGUAAGUUAGAUACCAAAGGAUGCUAAGACCAUGUGUGUAAAAAUCAAAAAGUAGAAGUUGUCUUUUAGGAUAAUAACCAUUUUUUAUAAAUAAUGGAUAUUAAAAGUAAAAGAUAUCUUAUUCCAUACUUUCUUUGUGUGUAAUUUUAUUGAUUCUAUGUAUUAUGACUUCAAAGUUAUUUUUCUUUAAUAGAUUUGUAAAUAAAAUUUAAUUAAUAACUUUUUUACAAGUUAAGUACUAUCCAACAAAGAAAUUGUAAGUUGAUUUAGUUAAAAACUUGCUCAUAAAAAAAGCCUUAUUUUAGUUUGUUCCUAUAUUUGAAAAGAAAUCUCCAAUCUUAUCUAUUAUGAAGCUUUUUUAGAAGCAUUUGCAAAGGCAUUUGAAAAAUAUGAUAAGGCCUGAUAGUUGAUAAUAAAGAUUUUCUCAUUACACCAAGAGUUAUGCUUUGCAUCAAUUUAUACAUUUCAUUUUAGGCAAUUGGCUUAUAACAUCAAUUGGGAUGAAUAAGCUUUUAUGAGCCAAUUAUAUUGAGAUCUGAGGAACAAUGUAAAAGACUUAUUAGUAUCAUUAUCUGAUCCUCAAAUACUCAAUGAAGCCAUCAACUAAGUUGUAAAGUAUAAUAAUCAAUUAUUUUAAUAUUGUUAAGAUUAAUGCUUAUAGAUUAUGACAAAGCAACAUAUUAAAAUUUGUAUUCUACUACUUCAACAAAUAUAUUACUUCUAUAGUUUGGAAUUGAGGAUAUGCAAAUUGAUGUAGUACAAUUUAAAUCUCUUAUAUCAAAGAAAAAAAAAUUGAUUCGAAUAUGGCUUAUAUUUGUAUUAUAGUGAAGGAGGUCACAAAUUUUAGAAUUAUCUAAAGAAACAAUUUACAAGUAGGAUUAAGAGUGCAAUCAUUUAAAAAAACAAAGAAGCCUAGCUACAAUAAGAGCUAUGUGGCUAGAUUUUCAAAUACCUCAAGUUCAUUAAGGUCUCUCUACCUAAGAACAUUUACUUGUUUUUUAGAUGAAGAAUUUACUAAACUUCAUAAAAUUCCUCUAGUAUAGAAGUCAAAACUUAUAUAUGUAGAAGUAAUAGAUAAUUGAUCUUUAUCUUUAGGCAAUAUUAUUAAUAAGACCAUACUACUAAAAAUAUUAUUUAAAGGCCAUAGUAGCAAAAUAAUAUUCAAUAUUAUUAAAAUCUCAUCUAAUCAUAUUAUCUUAGGACUUUUGUAGCUGAAAAGAAAUAAUCCAUCUAUAGAUUGGAGAUUUUAUAAGGUUGAAUUUUCUAUAGAAAUCCUUCAAAAAAAACUUAACAAGAAGUCAUCAACUAUAAAGUCCUUAUUUUUAGGACAAAAGACUUUUAUGAAAAUGACUAAGAAAGAAUUUCUAUUUGUUAUUUAUACAACUCAAGCUCAUGAAGAAACAAGUUUGCCAGUAGCUAUUCUAUAGUAAUAUAAAAAAUUUCAAGAUGUCUCGAAAAAAAAAUACUAAAAUAUUAUUGAAGCAUCAAUCAUAUGAUUGAGCCAUUAAUCUUUAAAAAGGAAUUCAAUCACCAUUUGAUUUAAUUUAAAAUCUAUCAUAGAAUAAGCUUCUAAUAUUAAAAGAUAAAAUUAUUAAAAUUCUUAAAUUUUUUUUUAUUAGGCAUUCCAAAUAUCUAGUAAGUACACUUAUAUUUUUUGUAAAGAAAAAAGAUGAAUCUUUGUAGAUGUGUGUUGAUUGUCAUAGCAUCAAUAAAAUAAUGGUAAAGAAUUAUUAUCCAUUAUCAUUAAUAUCAAGGCUUUUAGAGCAAUUUAAUCAAGCUAAGAUCUACACCAAAAUAAAUCUCUAUAGAGCAUAUAAUUUGAUGUACAUCAAAGAAGGAGAUAAAUAGAAGAUAACAUUUUGAAUAAGGUACAAAUAUUUUGAAUAUAAUGUCAUAUCUUUUCAAUUAAAAAAUGCUCCAAUUAUAUUCUAACAUUUGAUGAAUGAUAUAUUUUAAGAAUUCUUUAACAAGUUUACUGUCUAUUAUCUUAAUAAUAUCUUAAUUAAUUCUACGAUUCUUAAAGAAUAUAAAAAUUAUGUGAAAUUAAUCUUGUAAAAGUUAUAAGAUAUAGGAUUAUAUGCCAAAUACCUUUAAUUUUUAUAUUAUUUCAGUAUGCUUUCUUUUCCAUUUAAAUUGACAACCCUUACAUAAUAAUUCAUACAAUGGAUCUAUUAUAUGAAUAUAAUGAACAAUCUAUAUAUAAUAAAAUAUAUAAGCUUCUAAAAACUUGUGUACUUCUAUUAAAAAGUCUUAUGUAUCUUUCAUCCUUUCAAUAGCAUCAACUUUACUUGGAUCCUAUUUUCUCUCAUAAAAUCCAUAUAAAUAUCUAAUAAUGAUAACUUCUUAUAUUCCAAAUAUAGAUUUUUCUCUCAAAAGUAUAAGAUGUACUUCUUCAAGUCAAAUUAAAAUCUUUUUAUAAUCUUGUAUGUAAUCAACAAUAUAUUUGUGAUACCCCCUCUCAUCUAAAGUCUCAUUUUUUCUUCUUCUUUAUAUCUUUUGAUAGAAAAAUCAUUCAGAAAAAGCAUAUUUUUUUAGAAAUGAAGUCUCUUAAUACCUUGUUUAUCCCAUUUAUCAUAUAUGUAACUAAUUUUGUAGCACUUUGUAAAAGAGUACACAUUUUAAAUAAUCUAAGUGGUAUUUUUAUUGUUAUUAGAUCCCUACUUCCAUGUACGAGUUGAAAUUAAUCAUAGUCCAAAUAUAAAUCAUUCAUUGAAUAAAUUAUCCUUUGUGCAAAUACUUCACUAAACACAUCUAUUUAAGAUCUUAUAUCUAUAUUUUUAAUAGUUAUUGCAUUUAUUAGCUACAUAUCUUGAAUAAAACAUAAUGAUCCAUUUUUUUAAGGCAUCUUAAAUUAAUGAUUAAAAUAUGAAGCAAGCAAAGGCUCCAAAAUCUUUGUUUUUAUCUUUUCUUUCAAUAAUUCCACCAAUUUAGGCAAGUGUGUCUUUAGCAAAGGAAUUGGCCUUAACUUCCAAGGCACAUGUGGCAUUGUAAAGAUAACCAUAGGAGCAAUAAUAUUAGGAUCAAUACAUCUUAUUUCAUGAGGUUCAAAGACAAAUAAUUUACCUUGUUUUGCAAGCAUUUCUUUAAAAUAUUCAAUUUCUAUUAGUAACAAGGAACUAUCGCAUCUAGUCUUUAAUUCUUAAAAAAUCUCCUUUGUAAAUUGAUGUUCAAUAUUCUUUGGAUUUCUUAAAUUUUAUUUUUUGAUGCUUCUUUUAUUUACUCUAUAGAAUCUUUUGAUAAAAAACCAACAAUGGAUUUUAUCUUCUUAUCUAUUAUUUUAUAUAUUAUUUUUAUAAUAACUUUUGAUGUUUGAAAAGAUUCAAGUAUAUAAUAAACCUCUCUUGAAUGAAUCUCCAAAAUCUUCUCACCAUCUUCUAAUCCAAUAGAUACAAAUAACUUCAAAGAAUCUUCUAGCCUAUUUUCUUCAAAAAUACCUAAAAUACUGUCAUUAUCUUUUAAUGUCUUAAAUCUACAUAAUUCUUUUUUAAUAUUAUAUAUUUUUUUUAAAUCCUCAAAUUUCUAAUAUGUAAUACUUCCAUCUUCAAAAUUCCAAUAAAACCUACAUCAAAGGCAUUUACAUCUUCUAAAAGUAUUUCUCCUAUUGUACCUCCAUAAUUUUGCUUCACAAUGGUUCUUCUUCAAAAACUUUAAAUUCUUUAACAACUCUUGGUAAUAGUUUCUCCUUCAACUUAUCUUGAUUUUUUUCAUGAUUAAGAGGCAUAGUUAGAAAUUAUAUCUCUUUUUUUUCAUCUUUACUACGUAUGUGUAUAUAGAUUAAAUCAUUAUUAAGUACUUUUGUUUCCAUCUAUAUUGUCAUAAUAUAUAAUUUUUUUAAAAUCGUUGAAUAAGCCAUUGUAUCUUGAAUAAAAAAAUAUUGCUUCAUUAUAACAUCUCUAAUCCGGAUUUUAAUAUUUAGGCAAGCUCUAUAUAAUUCACUUCAUGUAUUAUUAGUUGCUCAUAUUGUCCAUCCAUGCUCUAUAUCAAUUGACUACCUCUACUUUUUAUAAAGAUUCUUAGUCAUAAGUUUUAUUUAAAAAUCGUCAUCAACUAAAGUAACAACUACUUCUUCUAUAUCUUCAACCUUCACCAAUACCUCUAUAGUUACCCUUGCCAAAUGCUUUCAAGUAUAAUGGCUUGAAGCUUUUGUUUUCUUAUUAUUAUAAUUAAAUAAACUCAUUGAUUAUAACCACUUGAUGAUUGCUUGUAACAAUUAUCAACCUCUUCUUCAACUUUGUAUAUCAUUGCAUCAAUAGCAUAAUUCAUUCCAAAUUCAUCCAUUAAUUUUUUCUUCUUUUUAAUACUGUUAAUAAUAAUAUCAUGAAAUUCCUUCUUUAUAAUUUUAAAAAUUUCUUUCAAUGUAAAUUCCACCUUAGUAUUUAGUAGACAAUCUUUCAACACCUUCUUUAAAUCUAUUGCUACUUCAAUGUCAAAGAAUAGUUUAUAAGCAAUCAAUCUACUUUUAUCUUUUGUCUUCUUUGCUUAUUCUUCUAAUGUUGAUGUAUCCUUUGUGAAUAAUUCUUAUAAAGCCACUUCACAAGCCUUCUCUCCUUGACUUUGCCUUUUAGAAGAAUUUCCUUCUAUUAUAUCAUCAAAAUAUCUUUGUUUCUUUUCUUCCAUCAAGGCUUCAUGUUGACUCCUAGCAAUAUAUGUAUGAACUAAAAGAGCCUCAACAUGAUCUUUUCAAUCUAUUGCAUCACAUAUUAUAGCUACACUUUUCAAAAAUGCCUCUUGAGGUGUUUUUUCUUUUUUUAUUAUAAAAAUGGCAAAAGUCCAAAAUUUACUUAUUUCUCUACUUCCAUCAAAGUCAUCAUCUAUCCUAGUAUCAUAACUUAUACCUUCUUGUAUUGCUACUUCAUGUGCUAUUAAAGAGUCUUAAAUCCAUGCUCUUAUACUUUCUUUAUUAAAAUUGAUUUAAAAGAGAUUUUUUGUAUCUUUUAAUAUCACCUUUUCAUCCUUCAAAAAAAAAACUCUUUAUUAUAUCAUAUUUUUAAAUUCAUUGCAAUCCUCCUUAGUAUGAGAAGCAUCAUU
This 21132-nucleotide long non-coding RNA is filed under the name Physcomitrium patens. RNAcentral's name for it is "long non-coding RNA (PPAT_LNC001048)". The record is from RNAcentral. Lineage: Eukaryota; Viridiplantae; Streptophyta; Bryopsida; Funariales; Funariaceae.